AUUACAACGUCAAAAUGAUUGCAACACUAUUGCUGUGAUUGUGACUUCACAACAAAAAGCACAGACUAAGUAAAUAUACCACUUUAUGGUUAAAGGAAUUCCUGCCUCAGGCUCAUCCAUUCUUGACACGUGACCACCUGUUCACCUUCACGGUCAGUCAUCCUAUCUUUCCAGCUACCCAUACAGAUUCCACUAAUCUUUCAUAGCCAACCCGAAAACUGCUUUCUGCUACUAAGAUCAGUGAAAUGUAGGCUAAACUGACAACGGAGUGAAGAGCAGAAAUCUCAACUAGCAAGCAAGUCGCAGCAAUGAAGAACGGGGGGGAUUCUCAACACCGGUACCGAGUCAAUGUGCGGGGGUACAGCCGGUACCGAGUCAAUGUGCAGGGGUACAGCCAUUGGCCAGUUUCUGGAUUGUGUGGUCCUGAUGCUGUGAUUUGUGUAUGUAGUUUCCGCUAUGGAACGCCGUUUGGGUCUUAAAGCACGUGGUCAAAACGCAAAAUGUUUAAUGCUACGUGUGUAAAGUAAACAGGUGCAGGCGCUAGAUUAACACGUGCACGCGUUAAAUUAACGUCUUCACGCGCUAAAUUAACGCCUAUAUGAGUCAAAUAAGCGGUGCAAAUGUGCUAAAUAAACGGCUGCAAGCGUCCUGCAUAAGUCAAAUUAAUGCCUACAGCUGCUAAAAAUACACCUACACAUGCUAAUUUAACACGUUCUUUAAUAUGCUAAUUUUACCAGCCAAUUUCCCUAGCUCCUCCUUUCAUUAAAUCGGUGUACAGUCAGUUUGAUGCAACAACACCACAAUUGAAGAUGGCGAGAAGGAACUUGCAUAUCCGCUGCAAACAGGCCCUAAAUGGAUGCACUCACCUUCUGCUCUCCAAUAAUCCUGGACUUGAUGCCCUUCAGUCCACGUUAACAAGCCAAUUCCAGUUACGGGGCUCCUCGGACUUGGAGAGGAGCUAGAGGUGUGCCUUGUUAUGCCAUCACUCAAGAGCAACUGAGGUUUCUGAUAUCCUGUGCUUUCAGUGUGUCUCAGAUGGCAGAUAUUCUACAUGUGUCCCGAUCGACAGUCAACUGUCGUCUAAGACACUUUAAUCUGUCACCGUUAUAUUCUGACAUGUCAGACUUGGCUCUGGAUGAAAAGCUGAAGGACUUGGAGGCUGGGAACGACAAACGUGGACCGGAGGCUGUUAUAUCACAAUUAAGGGCUCUGGGUGCAGACACAGAGUGAAGGACAGCAUGCUUUGUGUUAACCUGAGGGCGGCUGCCCUCCGAGCCAUGUCGCAGAGGCUGCAUAGGUCAUGCCGUGUUGCUGGACCAAACUCGUUAUGGCACCUUGAUGGACACCACAAACUGAUAAGGUGGAGGAUCGUCAUACAUGGUGGCAUUGAUGGGUACAGCCAUCUCGUUGUUUCUCCGUGCUUCCAGCAACAAUAGCAGCAGUACUGUAAUGGAUUGCUUCAUGAAUGCUGUCUCCAGAUAUGGUGUUCCCUCCAGAUGUUGAUGUUUGUGAUGAGAAUGAUGUUGACCUCCAAACACUGCAGAAGUUAAUGAGAUGCCAACCAAAUUAACGUGAUGAGGGACAGCGUUUAUGAUUGUGCGAGGCUUUAAGAGCCCGCUUCAAUCCUGAGGCAAAAAUAGACAUGGUUUUUAGGGAUGCUGACGGAAAAGGAGCAGCUGAUGAGAGUGGUCCCUCAAGAAUUUCUCUGGCUGCUAAUGAGUGCCAUCCAUUCCUCUGCAAUAUUUGAGGGACCUGAUUGGCAAAAAAUGCCUUUCUUGCAACUCUCAAGAUGAGUUACACUUUUACACCAACAAAAACACAUUUGUUAAUGCAAUAAUAUGACUUGAGUAAUAUUUGAUUUUUGUAUAAUGUGUCCUUUAUUUACAGUUUGUCUUCUGUGUGACAGUACUCUAUGAUGGCAUAUAAAAGCAGGUGGGUCGCAUGAUUGCUGUCUGGUACAUGCGGGUGUAGAGCCACAUUGAGGCAAUACAGGCAAGUGUGUGGCCUACAACCUCCUGUGCCAGAACUGAAAGAAAUUGUGGAAUAUGACUUCAGAGAGAAGUUGAAGGUAAGUGACUUUAUACUGUGAUGGAUGUUACGUUACUGUUAAUUUGCACUAAGUUUGGGAAAAAAUUGGGUUGUAUUUCAUGAAUACUUUUCCACGUGGAUUUGGUUUCCUUUUGUUGGCAGUCGAUCAUUUUUAAGGGUAGUGAUAAUCAGUUUAUUGUUUUGCUAAUUUGUCCCAAAACACAGUUCCAUAAACAAUGUACGAUCCAGUUAGCACAAACUGUUGACGAGGCACAGGAAGUGGUCAUGCUGGGUCCAGUGCGAUACAUUCGUACAUAGGAGAGGGAUGCCCUAGUGGAGUCAGCCACAAACUUCUACUUAGAAAGCAGGAUAUGGGAUGCUCUUGAGUAAUUCAGAGUGUCUAGGUCUCCUGCCUUGCAUGAAUAGACACUCAAGCCUCUUCAGAGAGGUUUUCAUCUACGCUGAGAAACCUCUUUUGGCCAAAGACAUAGCUUCUCUCUUUUAAAGCAGAGCGCUCCCCACCUGGUACCAAUCAAAGAGCAAUAGAGAGAAGAGUCAUAUGUUUCUGGAGGGACUGGCUUCUGGAGGUGGAAGGGGGAACACAUACCCUUUAACCAUGACGGUUUUCAUUUGCACUUAGGGGGCUUCAGCAUUCCUAGGCUGGGAUUGCCAGUGGAGCCACAGCUAUAGUUCUCGCUACUACCGCACGGCAAGCGGUACCGGAGCACCAAGUCUAGGUCCAAGAGGCUUCUGAACAGAUUCUUACUCCAAGCCGUAAGACUACUGAACAUCUAAUCAAAUGGCUACCCAGACUAUUUGCUGAUACUAUCUAUGCAUAAUCACUUUCAUAUCUCUACCUACAUGUAUAUAUUAACUUGACUAACAAGUGCCUGCACAUUCUCUGUACCGGUAUCCCCUGUAUAGAGCCUUGCUAUUGUUAUUUUACUGAUGCUCUUUAAUAAUAUAUAUUUUUUUAACUGCAUUGUUGGUUAAGGGCUUGUAAAAGUAAGCAUUUCCCUGUUGUAUUUGGCACGUGACAAAUACAAUUUGAUUUGAAUAAUUAAUUUAAGGGGAAUUAUCCAAAACGUUUAUUGCAUGACUACCUAGUAAGUUCGGAAUACUGCAGCCACUGCCUGUUCACCCCGCUAUCAUACAAAAUAAUUCAUAUCAGCAAAAAAAGUUGUGUAGUGAAAGCUUUCAAAAACAUUCCAGAAUCAAGAAUGACUCAAUUGGACACAGUAAUACAUAAUGCAACUUUAAUAAAUGUAUGAUUUGUGGGUAAACUGAGCAUUAUGCAAAGUAGUUAAGUCAUGUAUGUCAAGGGACUGUUACCAUAAAUCUUACUGUAAAUAUGGAUGUUUAAUUUACACGUGUAAUGGCAAUAAAAGACACUGUAGUUGGUUCAUAGGUCGUGGUGCAACAAGUUUGAGGGUAGUGGAGAAGCAUGGGAUUUGAGUGAAGUAACUGAGGACUGAAAAGGGUAUCGGGGUGCCCAGGAACUUGAAGCUGCUGAUCAUCUCCAUGCCAAUGUACAGUAGAAGGGUGAAGUAUCACCAUCUACUUUGUUUUGUUUACGCUGAGACUGUUGUCCUAUUCCAUUAUGUCAGGUUCCACAGCUCCUUCAUGUACUCAUGUGUACCAUGGUAGUGUCGGGUCCAUUCUGGGGAUACACAUUCUUAUGAUAAUGUAAAAAAUCUAAUUUGUUAUUACAGGAUUUACACCCAGAGCCCUGAGUCUGCUAACCAGUUUGUGGGCCAGGAUGGCGUUGAAAGCAGAGCUAUAAAAUGCACUCUGACUUAUGUAAAAAUGUAUAAUUGACAUUUGGUGGGACAAUGGGCAUACUGGAGUUGUACAUUGUGCUACACUAUCUAUUGUUCCAGCUUUUUUUAAACGAUAUCGACUGGGCUGCAGUGGAGCUGGUUAAAAAGCUUCGAUGUCAUGGGGACCUAAUGUCGUUGACUGGUACAGACACUGCAGUCAAAUGCCAACCAGCCGGCUCUCCCGUCUUAUGGUGGCUGAAGACGUUUUGCCCGACGUCAAACAUUAACAAGAGUGUCAGAUUGAAAUGUCUGUAAAAAAAUGUAAACAGAACCAUAAGAGCAGAUUACUUUGUCAUCCUUACUGGCACAGUUUAAAAAUGUCUAAUUGUAGUCACUUUCAAUUGAUUCAUUGACUCCAAAAACCAUAGAUUGUUUGUAAUUCAUAACAUUAACACAACUGACAAACGUUGCGUGACUAAAUUAGGAUACAUGUUUUAAUAACAUUAUGUGAUUGGGCUUAAUGUUGCAUACCUUAUGUUGUGCAUGCAUGCCAACCAGGUGAGAAUCACCAGAAUUAAUUGAUACUUGAUGAAUCAGGUCUUCUCUGCUGCUUUAUCAGCCUCCCCCUUGCCCGCUCCACUUCGUGGUUCCCUUCUGCAAGACACAAUUGUGUGAAAAUAAAGCGGAAGGAAAGGGAACCCUAUUCCUUUUGAACCAGUA
Molecule: long non-coding RNA, 4508 nt
Organism: Salvelinus fontinalis (brook trout)
Lineage: Eukaryota; Metazoa; Chordata; Actinopteri; Salmoniformes; Salmonidae
Exons: 8
Source: RefSeq, a predicted model, not a curated record